Molecule: ribosomal RNA, 580 nt
Filed under: Rhodotorula mucilaginosa
Lineage: Eukaryota; Fungi; Basidiomycota; Microbotryomycetes; Sporidiobolales; Sporidiobolaceae
Description: partial large subunit ribosomal RNA
Rfam family: Eukaryotic large subunit ribosomal RNA
Source: RNAcentral
GGGAUUCCCCUAGUAGCGGCGAGCGAAGCGGGAAGAGCUCAAAUUUAUAAUCUGGCACCUUCGGUGUCCGAGUUGUAAUCUCUAGAAAUGUUUUCCGCGCUGGACCGCACACAAGUCUGUUGGAAUACAGCGGCAUAGUGGUGAGACCCCCGUAUAUGGUGCGGACGCCCAGCGCUUUGUGAUACAUUUUCGAAGAGUCGAGUUGUUUGGGAAUGCAGCUCAAAUUGGGUGGUAAAUUCCAUCUAAAGCUAAAUAUUGGCGAGAGACCGAUAGCGAACAAGUACCGUGAGGGAAAGAUGAAAAGCACUUUGGAAAGAGAGUUAACAGUACGUGAAAUUGUUGGAAGGGAAACGCUUGAAGUCAGACUUGCUUGCCGAGCAAUCGGUUUGCAGGCCAGCAUCAGUUUUCCGGGAUGGAUAAUGGUAGAGAGAAGGUAGCAGUUUCGGCUGUGUUAUAGCUCUCUGCUGGAUACAUCUUGGGGGACUGAGGAACGCAGUGUGCCUUUGGCGGGGGUUUCGACCUCUUCACACUUAGGAUGCUGGUGGAAUGGCUUUAAACGACCCGUCUUGAAACACGGACC